Molecule: ribosomal RNA, 492 nt
Filed under: uncultured bacterium
Lineage: Bacteria
Description: partial 16S ribosomal RNA
Rfam family: Bacterial small subunit ribosomal RNA
Source: RNAcentral
AGUGAACGCUGGCGGUAGGCCUAACACAUGCAAGUCGAACGGCAGCACAGUAAGAGCUUGCUCUUACGGGUGGCGAGUGGCGGACGGGUGAGGAAUACAUCGGAAUCUACUUUUUCGUGGGGGAUAACGUAGGGAAACUUACGCUAAUACCGCAUACGACCUACGGGUGAAAGCAGGGGAUCUUCGGACCUUGCGCGAUUGAAUGAGCCGAUGUCGGAUUAGCUAGUUGGCGGGGUAAAGGCCCACCAAGGCGACGAUCCGUAGCUGGUCUGAGAGGAUGAUCAGCCACACUGGAACUGAGACACGGUCCAGACUCCUACGGGAGGCAGCAGUGGGGAAUAUUGGACAAUGGGCGCAAGCCUGAUCCAGCCAUACCGCGUGUGUGAAGAAGGCCUUCGGGUUGUAAAGCGCUUUUGUGGGGAAAGAAAAGCAGCAGGUUAAUACCCCGCUGUUCUGACGGUACCCAAAGAAUAAGCACCGGCUAACUUCGUG